RNAcentral lists this ribosomal RNA (253 nucleotides) under uncultured bacterium. RNAcentral describes it as "partial 16S ribosomal RNA". It matches the Rfam family "Bacterial small subunit ribosomal RNA", at positions 524 to 776 of the family's 1533-position model. The record is from RNAcentral.
UACGUAGGGGGCUAGCGUUGUCCGGAAUCAUUGGGCGUAAAGAGCGUGUAGGCGGCCCGGUAAGUCCGCUGUGAAAGUCGGGGGCUCAACCCUCGAAUGCCGGUGGAUACUGUCGGGCUAGAGUGCGGAAGAGGCGAGUGGAAUACCUGGUGUAGCGGUGAAAUGCGCAGAUAUCAGGAGGAACACCGAUUGCGAAGGCAGCUCGCUGGGACGUCACUGACGCUGAGACGCGAAAACGUGGGGAGCAAACAGG